Non-coding RNA from Potamilus streckersoni, 74 nucleotides. The record is from the annotation of a GenBank genome assembly. NCBI's taxonomy places the organism in Eukaryota, Metazoa, Mollusca, Bivalvia, Unionida, Unionidae.
GGUUCCGGUAGCCUAGUGGUUAGAGCGUCCGCCUCGGAUGUGAGAGGUUUUGGGUUCGAACCACGGCCAAGUCA